GGAGUGAUCAGACUGUGACACUGUGUCAUAGUGUUGAUGUGGCUGGUCUGUCUGGACAGGCGGGGCAUCUGUUUCCUCUGUCACGACUCCAUGUGAAGCCUUCUGAAACUUCCUGGUAGGUGGAAGAGGACAAACUUCCCAGACAGAGGAGGGCCUUUCUCUGGUCAAUGGUAUGUGGGAAACUCUGCACCCCUGCAAGAACCUCCAAAUAAGCUCUCGGGGCUGCUUAAAUCAAGACACAAAAUCCUUAGGGCUCUUAAGAACCUGAAAAGUUUGUAAUGCUAGAAUUCCAGACACCAUGAGACAAUAUUCUACUUUUGAGU
Unclassified non-coding RNA from Mesocricetus auratus (golden hamster), 323 nucleotides. Its record names the gene 7SK. It matches the Rfam family "7SK RNA". From Rfam's summary of the family: 7SK was discovered as an abundant small nuclear RNA in the mid-70s but a possible function has only recently been suggested. Two independent studies have found that 7SK RNA binds the CDK9/cyclin T complex (known as elongation factor P-TEFb). The record is from Ensembl. NCBI's taxonomy places the organism in Eukaryota, Metazoa, Chordata, Mammalia, Rodentia, Cricetidae.